Molecule: ribosomal RNA, 441 nt
Filed under: uncultured bacterium
Lineage: Bacteria
Description: partial 16S ribosomal RNA
Rfam family: Bacterial small subunit ribosomal RNA
Source: RNAcentral
CCUACGGGUGGCAGCAGUAGGGAAUUUUGCGCAAUGGGGGAAACCCUGACGCAGCAACGCCGCGUGAUUGAUGAAGCCCUUCGGGGUGUAAAGAUCUGUCAGUGGGGACGAAACUUGACGGUACCCACAGAGGAAGCAUCGGCUAACUCCGUGCCAGCAGCCGCGGUAAGACGGGGGAUGCAAGCGUUGUCCGGAAUCAUUGGGCGUAAAGAGUUCGUAUGUGGUACGUUAAGGCGGGUGUUAAAUGCAGAGGCUCAACCUCUGUUCGGCACUGGAAACUGGCGAGCUUGAGUGCGGUAGAGGUAAGGGGAAGUCCCGGUGUAGCGGUGAAAUGCGUAGAUAUCAGGAGGAACAUCGGGGGCGAAGGCGCUUUACUGGGCCGUAAUUGACGCUGAGGAACGAAAGCCAGGGUAGCAAAUAGGAUUAGAUACCCUAGUAGUC